Molecule: small nuclear RNA, 102 nt
Organism: Balaenoptera musculus (blue whale)
Lineage: Eukaryota; Metazoa; Chordata; Mammalia; Artiodactyla; Balaenopteridae
Source: Ensembl
GCUCGCUUCAGCAGUGCAUAUACUAAAAUUGGAGCAAUACAGAGAUUAGCAUGGCCCCUGCGUGAGGAUGACACGCAAAUUCAUGAAGCAUUCCAUAUUUUA